UGACUUGGGAUACACAUGAUGGAUGGA
Molecule: non-coding RNA, 27 nt
Filed under: Homo sapiens (human)
Lineage: Eukaryota; Metazoa; Chordata; Mammalia; Primates; Hominidae
Source: RNAcentral